GGUGAACGCUGGCGGCGUGCCUAACACAUGCAAGUCGAUCGGAGCAGCAAUGCUUAGAGGCGAACGGGUGAGGAAAACGUAGUAACCAACCCUUUAGACUGGGAUAGCCACUGGAAACGGUGGGUAAUACCGGAUAAGCUCGAGAGAGGAAAGGCAGAGAAGCGCUAAAGGACGGAACCUGCGCCCCAUCAGAUAGUUGGUGAGGUAAAGGCUUACCAAGUCAAAGACGGGAAACCGACGUGAGAGCGUGUACGGUCACAAGGGCACUGAGAGACCGGGCCCUACUCCGUACGGGGAGGCAGCAGGUGGGGAAUAUUGGACAAUGGACGAAAGUCUGAUCCAGCGACGCCGCGUGACCGACGAAGUCCUUCGGGAUGUAAAGGUCUUUUGCCAGGGAAGAAGAUCUGACGGUACCUGGCGAAUAAGCCCCGGCUAACUACGUG
This 443-nucleotide ribosomal RNA is filed under the name uncultured bacterium. Its description in RNAcentral is "bacterial SSU rRNA". It matches the Rfam family "Bacterial small subunit ribosomal RNA", at positions 28 to 507 of the family's 1533-position model. The record is from RNAcentral.